This 918-nucleotide ribosomal RNA is filed under the name uncultured bacterium. Its description in RNAcentral is "bacterial SSU rRNA". It matches the Rfam family "Bacterial small subunit ribosomal RNA", at positions 33 to 941 of the family's 1533-position model. The record is from RNAcentral.
ACGCUGGCGGCAUGCUUUACACAUGCAAGUCGGACGGCAGCACAGAGAAGCUUGCUUCUUGGGUGGCGAGUGGCGAACGGGUGAGUAAUAUAUCGGAACGUACCGAGUAAUGGGGGAUAACUAAUCGAAAGAUUAGCUAAUACCGCAUAUUCUCUGAGGAGGAAAGCAGGGGACCUUCGGGCCUUGCGUUAUUCGAGCGGCCGAUAUCUGAUUAGCUAGUUGGUGGGGUAAAGGCCUACCAAGGCGACGAUCAGUAGCAGGUCUGAGAGGAUGAUCCGCCACACUGGGACUGAGACACGGCCCAGACUCCUACGGGAGGCAGCAGUGGGGAAUUUUGGACAAUGGGCGCAAGCCUGAUCCAGCCAUGCCGCGUGUCUGAAGAAGGCCUUCGGGUUGUAAAGGACUUUUGUCAGGGAAGAAAAGGCUGUUGCUAAUACCGACAGCUGAUGACGGUACCUGAAGAAUAAGCACCGGCUAACUACGUGCCAGCAGCCGCGGUAAUACGUAGGGUGCGAGCGUUAAUCGGAAUUACUGGGCGUAAAGCGAGCGCAGACGGUUACUUAAGCAGGAUGUGAAAUCCCGGGCUCAACCUGGGAACUGCGUUCUGAACUGGGUGACUAGAGUGUGUCAGAGGGAGGUAGAAUUCCACGUGUAGCAGUGAAAUGCGUAGAGAUGUGGAGGAAUACCGAUGGCGAAGGCAGCCUCCUGGGAUAACACUGACGUUCAUGCUCGAAAGCGUGGGUAGCAAACAGGAUUAGAUACCCUGGUAGUCCACGCCCUAAACGAUGUCAAUUAGCUGUUGGGCAACUUGAUUGCUUAGUAGCGUAGCUAACGCGUGAAAUUGACCGCCUGGGGAGUACGGUCGCAAGAUUAAAACUCAAACGAAUUGACGGGGACCCGCACAAGCGGUGGAUGAUG